This 1524-nucleotide long non-coding RNA is filed under the name Sus scrofa (pig). Its description in RNAcentral is "lncRNA (ENSSSCG00035051141.1)". The record is from RNAcentral. Lineage: Eukaryota; Metazoa; Chordata; Mammalia; Artiodactyla; Suidae.
UCGAAGCCUGUAACGGAAAAGAAGACGGGAAUGGAGGGCUUACAGGGAAGAGAUUUCACAGGUUCUAGAUGAAUAAACUCAACCCAGACAGAUGCUUUCAGGUGACAUAAAGCGGACACAGGGCUCCUGCAAGACAAAGACUGUGGGAGCCCAGGGCAGCCCAGCUGGGGGCAGAGGCUGAGGUGGAGGAGGGGAGUAUGAGCCCUUUGUGGGGGGCCUUGCAGAGGUCAGAGGGGGAGAGUAGAUACCCACCUCUCCAAAGAGGCAGAGCAGCUUUUCCAUGGAGAUUUGAAGGACUGGGAGGCUCAGAGGCCCAGCCGUACGUGGGAGUCCAGGGAGAAGUGCAGCUGAGACCUGCUGAGAAGCGUGGUGAUGCUGGGAACUUCAAGAGCAACCAGGCCUGGCUUGCCAGCCAGCCUGUCCCAGCUCUGCGUCUCUCCAGCUUCCUUCCUAAAUCACCACCACCACCUGCCCUAGGAGUGGAGCCCUUGGGUUGGAGCCAGCUGAUUGGAUGUGAGCUCUAAGGUGAGCGUUUUGCUCAAGAACUGUAGCUGCUAGAAGGUAUAUAACAUCUCAUUCAGAUGCCAGGAAAAGAAGAAGUGGGGUGGAGAUGUUUGUGCAUCUAACGGGUGGGUGGCGGGAAUGACAAUGACAUAAAUCUCCUAAUUCCAUAAGGACGUGGGACUCUCUGCUGACUGGGUCUUAGAACACUGGUAAAUUGUUCCACAGCAGUAGAAAGGGAUGCGGGGUUUUUAGGACACAUCCUAAGGAGAUCCCAUUCUUGUCUGUAUUCCACGUGCAUGCACAGACAACAGCUAAAAGGAAAUGAUACAUGUUGGGGGUGAGGGAGCCAGUAGCUUUUAAUUCAUUCCUUAUACUUCCUGGAUUAUGUGAGAAAAAUUUAAAUAGCACAUAUUAAUUUAAUAAUCAGAUGGGGAAAAAUAGAGAUCUUAGAAGNCCUUUUUUUUUUUUUUUUUUUGGUCUUUUCUAGGGCUGCACCUGUGGCAUAUGGAGGUUCCCAGGCUUAGGGUCGAAUCGGAGCUGUGGUGGCCGGCCUAUGCCAGAGCCACCACAACACAGCAUCCGAGCUGCGUCUGCGACCUACACCACAGCCCACGGCAACGCUGGAUCCUUAACCCACUGGGCGAGGCCAGGGAUCGAACCCACAACCUCAUGGUUCCUAGUCGGAUUUGCUAACCACUAUGCCACAACAGGAACUCCAUAUCCUACAUGCCUCUAAGGACUGUGGUCGAUUGAAAUGAUGUAGCUGAUACAAAAGUGUUUUUGAAAGUUGUGCAAUGUUUUAAAGAUACAAUGUGGUGUAUUUUUCUUUUUUCGGGUUUACUUAAAUUUUAUUUAUUUAUUUAUUUUUAUUAUUAUUUUUUAAUUUUUUAAAAUAGUUAUUUCCCCAAUACAAUUUUUUUUCCUACUGUACAGCAUGGUGAUCCAGUUAGACGUACAUGUACACACUCUUUUUUCUCACAUUAUCAUGCUCUAUCCUAAGUAACUAGACAUAAUUCCCAG